CGCCCUGGGGAGUACCGGGACGCGUGCUGGGGCGGAGAUGCUGCGCUCCCUGCUGCCGCGGCUGGAUCUCCCCUGAGGGGCUGUUUGUUCCAAUGCGCAUUAUACAGGGCCAGGCCCAGCCUGGGUCCUGACAUCACAAAGGCACUGCAGGCACUGGAGGUGGGCAAGAGGCGUCAGUCCAGCCCCUCGGCUCCCUGCAGCCCAUCCCCAGGACCCUGCUCCAGCCCUUUCCCUUGGCAGAGUACCAGUCUCCCUGCAGCUCCGCUCUGUCCCACACUGCGCCCUGGCAGAGCUCCCCCUGGCCGAACCCUCCCCAGGCCACUGUGCUUGGGGCUCUUUCGACCAGACCCUGUGUGCUUUAACCCUCCAGAGCCUGAGCAGAGCCCAGACACGUCCCCUGGGCUGGGAUCCCUGGGUACGUUCUCAGGGUGCGGCUCCUCUGUCCAGCCCCCCUUUGCUGGUUCCACUAUUUCAUAAUCACAGUUCCGUACCGUCGGCCAGAAUUCAUACACUGCCCCCAGACAGAUCCCACCAGUCAUCACAAACUCUGCUAGCAAUUCUUCUGUCCCACUGCACCCUCGUUAGGGGGGACACUGACCCUCCAGCUCCCAAAGAUUUCCAGCGAGGGCAGGACAGCUAAUCUCGAUGUCUGGGCAAGUUCCCGACUGAUUCCCCAGCCAGUCUCACUUGGGUACAGGAUCCUCCACCUUCUCCCCCCGGACUCUUCUGUAGCGUUGCUGUUAAACAGCUACUGCAUCCCAACCCAGAGGUGGCUGCACUUCAGUGCUGGGUGAGAUAUCCCUAUGAACACAGAUCCUGACCGUACAGUCCUAAUGCCGGGAACUCCCACUGAAGACAAGAACAUCCUUCUGGAAAGGCGGGCACAGAACCGGGCAGUAUUCCAGCAGCGCUCGCACCAGCCUCAGACGAGAUCCCAUAUAGAAAUCUCUGUGUUGGAUACAACACCGUUUGUGCAGAACGGCCCCAUCCCGGGAGAUUUCUUUGCAUUGAAAUAAAACAUGCAGCCUGGCAACAGCCGUUUAAUCUGCAAAACUGGGGCAGUGGUGCCAGCCGAGGUGCAAUCUUAUCAGCGCUCACAGGCUGCAGCCGCCACUCACCGUGCACAACAGCCUCAUUCCAGAGGGGCCGGUACUGACGCGAGUCGGAGCUGGGCGCUCCCUGCAGCAGGAGUCACUCUUCGAAGAGCCUCAUGCAUGGGGCUGGUGCCUUUCCGCCCAGCGCCGCCCGUCCUGCACGGAGAGGAGUCAUCACCGCCUCCCCUGGGGCCUGGCAGCCGAUGAGAAGCAAUGUUCAGAAAUGGGGGGCGGAUCCCAUCCACAGCUGCAGGCCUUCGCCGACCUGACACCCCCGGAACCCUGCAGGACAUGCCGAGCGGCCUAUAGUCAGAGCCUUGGCUUGACCUCUCCCUUCUAACAGCGCUGACCCGGGGGUGCCGAGCUGAGCUCAAUACGAGGCCAGGUCUACGCUAAAAAGUUAGGUCGACCCCGCUACGUGGCUCUGAGUAUGGAAAAUCCACCCCCUGAGCCAUGGCAGCGCCGGGUGGAUGAAAGCUUUCUUCUGUCAGCCUAGCUCCUGCCUCUCGCGGGGGUGGAUUACCGACGAUGGGAGAACCCCUCCCGUCGCUGUAACCUUCAUCUCUCUGUGCUAACCUAAGGCCUUCCCAGGCUGUGCCCAGCUGACUAAUAAACCGACUGUUUGCAAAGUGCUGCCUGGGUGUCACUGCAAAGACUGAGAGUCCCUGCAAAUACCGUGUCCGUGGGACGCGCAGGGCGGAGCUCAGGGCUCAGUCUCCAGAGGCGGUGAGGCCGGGUGGCCUUCCCUGAAGAGUGAGACCCCUCGGGGGUCUGGCACAUCUAAGAGGUUCCUCCCAGAGACCGUUCCGAAGCCGGGGGCGUAGCACCGAUCCCUCGGCUCCAUCACAGGGGGAAUGUUGGGCCGCUCGUUGAGGGAGUUGAUAUUUCAGGGAUACAAACCCUUUGAAGUCUCUGGUGUGGACACCAUCUAGUGCAUGCUGGGCGGGGAGGAGAAAAGUUGAGUGGGGGAGAGAGAUGACUAGUUCACAUCCAUCCGACGUGGCGACACCCUGACGGCACCCGGCAUAAGGUGGCUGAAAUCUGCACCAGAGCACAGGGCACAGCCUGGCAGAGCUCUCCUCCCCAGCUCUGGCCGGCUGGCCUUCUGCCUGGGGUUCAGGGGCAUCUCUGGCUCCGUCUCUGCCUGAAUCUCUGGGGUGGGGUUAGGUCUUGCAAAGAGAUCUAGACCAUCCGGGGUAAUAUCCUCCAGGCCAGGAUCCCUGGUCGCUUAGGCACCUUCUGAUGCCCCAGCCAAGCUGUGCAGAAACCCAUGCCAGGACCCCGUGGUGGUCUCCCAGGAAACAUCCGGUCCAGCUCCUCAGAGGAAGUGCAGGCAAUGGGAGCAUCACUGCAGAUCCUGUUCUGUGCUGAGCGGAACUGUGAUUCUGCCAGAGCUCCCUGGCUUCAGCCCCUUCCCCCACAUUUCUCUGCUAGCUGCUCCUAUAGCGUUGCGUGCUGCUGACUUCUGUUCCGAUGGGACUAGCCGUGCUCCUGUCCCCAGCCAGAGGCCAAGGAAGCCCAGCACCUCCGGACCAGACACGCAGACGCCCGGCACAUGGCUGCAAUAAUGGGUCCGUGCCCGUGUUUGUGAACUCGCCACACCGCUGGCCAUGUGCCAGCAUUGACAAAGGGAGGUGACAUCUGGUCAAGAGGAGCCCAGAGCAGCAGAAGGCAUGAGGCCAGGCAGCAAUGCAGUGUGGGAUAGCGGGGGGAGGACUGCCAGAAGCGUUCUGGCGAAUCUGGGCUGCAGCCACACACACCUUAUGCCACCAUCGCUCAUUCCAAACCAGGGUUUGUCACUUCCAACGUGGCUUAGCAAGAGUGGGAUAGGACGCCAGAGAAGUUGAGAAAACGCCUUGUGUGUGUGGGGACGCGCAGCAGCUCAUGCCAGAAAUCUAAAGUUCCACUGAAAACACGUUCCCAUGCCAACACGCCCUUACAGUCAGACCUGGCGCUCUGUCCUGGGCCUUUACUGCUUUGCGGCCUGUUCACAGGCACAGGGCUACGUUCCCAUGCACUCGGAGCAGACGCAAACUUCCAGUGGAAACAAGCUUUGAUGAGAGAGUAAGGGAAACAAGAAAGAACCAAAGUCAAGUCUCCAGGCGAGAGCGUGGUGUGCGCAGGUCCUAUGUACCAACCUGCAGGCCAUUCCAGAUUCAAUCCUGGACAUGAGGUGGCCACUCAUGUGAUUCUGUGGUGCCCCCUGUGGCCAAUCUAAGCAAGGCAAUGGUGGGAUCUGAAAAGGGUCCAGCUCCAGGCGUGGUCUCUCGCAAUCAGCGUCUCUCCUCUGGGCUUCAUUUAUUCCAGACACCGAGCUCCUCCCAGGGCCCUCACCUUUCGUCUCCAGCUGAUUGGCAAGAUGAGCAAAUGAAUUCAAACGUGAAAUGUCAUUCCUGCUGCUCAGGCAGUGCAACAUGGCAGGAGUAAUACAGAUGGUACCUUCCCGCCAGCCCGCCAGCCUUUUCUCAUGCUAAUGCGCCAGCAGGAUUUCAUUCUUACCUCCCAUUAACACUCAUUAAAGUGUCAU
Molecule: long non-coding RNA, 3621 nt
Organism: Mauremys reevesii (Reeves's turtle)
Lineage: Eukaryota; Metazoa; Chordata; Testudines; Geoemydidae
Exons: 3
Source: RefSeq, a predicted model, not a curated record